AUUGAACGCUGGCGGCAGGCCUAACAAAUGAAAGUCGAGCGGAGCGGCGGAAGGGUGAGGAAUGCAUAGGAAUCUGCCUGGUAGUGGGGGAGAACGUCAGGAAACGGGCGCUAAUCGCGUAUACUAGCAGAUGAGACUAGGUCGGAUUAGCUAGUUGGUGGGGUAAAGGCCUACCAAGGCGACGAUCCGUAACUGGUCUGAGAGGAUGAUCAGUCACACUGGAACUGAGACACGGUCCAGACUCCUACGGGAGGCAGCAGUGGGGAAUAUUGGACAAUGGGCGAAAGCCUGAUCCAGCCAUGCCGCGUGUGUGAAGAAGGUCUUCGGAUUGUAAAGCACUUUAAGUUGGGAGGCGUUACCAACAGAAUAAGCACCGGCUAACUUCGUGCCAGCCGCCGCGGUAAUAC
RNAcentral lists this ribosomal RNA (407 nucleotides) under uncultured bacterium. RNAcentral describes it as "partial 16S ribosomal RNA". It matches the Rfam family "Bacterial small subunit ribosomal RNA", at positions 30 to 526 of the family's 1533-position model. The record is from RNAcentral.